Molecule: ribosomal RNA, 497 nt
Filed under: uncultured bacterium
Lineage: Bacteria
Description: partial 16S ribosomal RNA
Rfam family: Bacterial small subunit ribosomal RNA
Source: RNAcentral
GAUGAACGCUGGCGGCGUGCCUAAUACAUGCAAGUCGAGCGAACGGACGAGAAGCUUGCUUCUCUGAUGUUAGCGGCGGACGGGUGAGUAACACGUGGAUAACCUACCUAUAAGACUGGGAUAACUUCGGGAAACCGGAGCUAAUACCGGAUAAUAUUUUGAACCGCAUGGUUCAAAAGUGAAAGACGGUCUUGCUGUCACUUAUAGAUGUAUCCGCGCUGCAUUAGCAAGUUGGUAAGUUAACGGCUUACCAAGGCAACGAUGCAUAGCCGACCUGAGAGGGUGACCGGCCACACUGGAACUGAGACACGGUCCAGACUCCUGCGGGAGGCAGCAGUAGGGUAUCGUCCGCAAUGGGCGAAAGCCUGACGGAGCAACGCCGCGUGGGUUAUGAAGGUCUUCGAAUCGUAAAACUCUGUUAUUAGGGAAGAACAUAUGUGUAAGUAACUGUGCACAUCUUGACGUUACCUAAUCAGAAAGCCACGGCUAACUACGUG